AUCCUGGCUCAGAAUCAACGCUGGCGGCGUGCCUAACACAUGCAAGUCGAACGAGAAAGUGGAGCAAUCCAUGAGUACAGUGGCGACCGGGUGAGUAACACGUGACUACCUGCCCUUGAGUGGGGGAUAACCUCGGGAAACCGAGGCUAAUACCGCAUAAUAUCGAGAGAUCAAAGGAGCAAUCCGCUUUUGGAGGGGGUCGCGGCUGAUUAGCUAGUUGGUAAGGUAAUGGCUUACCAAGGCGAAGAUCGGUAUCCGGCCUGAGAGGGCGCACGGACACACUGGAACUGAAACACGGUCCAGACUCCUACGGGAGGCA
Molecule: ribosomal RNA, 319 nt
Filed under: uncultured Acidobacteriota bacterium
Lineage: Bacteria; Pseudomonadati; Acidobacteriota
Description: bacterial SSU rRNA
Rfam family: Bacterial small subunit ribosomal RNA
Source: RNAcentral